CUGGCUCAGGAUGAACGCUGGCGGCGUGCCUAAUACAUGCAAGUCGAACGGAGCUUUGUAUUCGUACGAAGCUUAGUGGCGAACGGGUGAGUAACGCGUUGGUGACCUGCCCCGAAGAGAGGGACAACAGCUCGAAAGGGCUGCUAAUACCUCAUGUGGUCGUAAGGGUUAGAGGCCUUACGUCUAAAUGGAGUAAUCCGCUUCGGGAGGGGCCUGCGUCCCAUCAGCUUGUUGGUAGGGUAACGGCCUACCAAGGCGACGACGGGUAGGGGACCUGAGAGGGUGACCCCCCACACUGGCACUGAAACACGGGCCAGACACCUACGGGUGGCAGCAGUAGGGAAUAUUGCACAAUGGGCGAAAGCCUGAUGCAGCAACGCCGCGUGCACGAUGAAGGCCUUCGGGUCGUAAAGUGCUUUUCGGGGAGAUGAGGAAGGACAGUAUCCCCGGAAUAAGGAUCGGCUAACUACGUGCCAGCAGCCGCGGUAAAACGUAGGAUCCGAGCGUUAUCCGAAUUUACUGGGCGUAAAGCGCGUGUAGGCGGUUCGGUAAGUUGGAUGUGAAAUCUCCUGGCUCAACUGGGAGAGGUCGUUCAAUACUGUCGGACUAGAGGGUGGUAGAGGGAGGUGGAAUUCCCGGUGUAGUGGUGAAAUGCGUAGAUAUCGGGAGGAACACCAGUGGCGAAAGCGGCCUCCUAGACCGCUCCUGACGCUCAGACGCGAAAGCUAGGGGAGCAAACGGGAUUAGAAACCCCGGUAGUCCUAGCUGUAAACGAUGUGGACUUGGCGUUGGUGGGGUAAAAGCCAUCAGUGCCGAAGCUAACGCGAUAAGUCCACCGC
RNAcentral lists this ribosomal RNA (839 nucleotides) under uncultured bacterium. RNAcentral's name for it is "bacterial SSU rRNA". It matches the Rfam family "Bacterial small subunit ribosomal RNA", at positions 19 to 872 of the family's 1533-position model. The record is from RNAcentral.